AUUGAACAUGAUAUUGGUGACUUCACACGCCAUAAUGGCACUGGUGGCAAGUCCAUCUAUGGGGAGAAAUUUGAAGAUGAGAACUUCAUCCUAAAGCAUACAGGUCCUGGCAUCUUGUCCAUGGCAAAUGCUGGACCCAACACAAAUGGUUCCCAGUUUUUCAUCUGCACUGCCAAGACUGAGUGGUUGGAUGGCAAGCAUGUGGUCUUUGGCAAAGUGAAAGAAGGCAUGAAUAUUGUGGAGGCCAUGGAGCGCUUUGGGUCCAGGAAUGGCAAGACCAGCAAGAAGAUCACUAUUGCUGACUAUGGACAACUCGAAUAAGUUUGACUUGUGUUUUAUCUUAACCACCAGACCAUUCCUUCUGUAGCUCAGGAGAGCACCCCUCCACCCCAUUUGCUCGCAGUAUCCUAGAAUCUUUGUGCUCUCGCUGCAGUUCCCUUUGGGUUCCAUGUUUUCCUUGUUCUCUCCCAUGCCUAGCUGGAUUGCAGAGUUAAGUUUAUGAUUAUGAAAUAAAAACUAAGUAACAAUUGUCAAAAAAAA
Macaca mulatta (Rhesus monkey) is the source of this 540-nucleotide non-coding RNA. Lineage: Eukaryota; Metazoa; Chordata; Mammalia; Primates; Cercopithecidae. The record is from RefSeq and is a predicted model, not a curated record.